CUCAUUACAUAUUUUAACUAUGGUAUUGUAUAUGUACAUUAGGCCAUAAUAAAAAUAUUCCUAGAUUCUCAUCCCCGCCCGCCCCGAUUUUAAAGCCCCGCCUCAAUUUUUUUUAUUUCUGUUUUUCUAUGUCGUAAUUCUGAUCGGAAUCGGUAUACAUCUACCAUUCUACUUUCGUUUUAAAUCCCGUGAAAGUCGACAUGAUUUUGACCGCUGAAAAGAUGGUAAUUGCUGUAAUACAUGUGUAUAUAUUUUAAACAAAGGUCAUUGGUUGAAAAAGUUUGGUGAUGAUGUGAAGUAAGAGAUAAUUGGACCUUUACUAUGACUCUUAUUCGGGUAUUGUAGAUAAAAUUACACUGAUUGACAAGGUCAAUAAAAGUCUGCAAAAUUGAAAAAAAAAA
Saccostrea echinata is the source of this 401-nucleotide long non-coding RNA. RefSeq lists it as uncharacterized. The transcript is spliced from 2 exons. The record is from RefSeq and is a predicted model, not a curated record. Lineage: Eukaryota; Metazoa; Mollusca; Bivalvia; Ostreida; Ostreidae.